UACGUAGGGGGCGAGCGUUGUCCGGAAUCAUUGGGCGUAAAGCGCGUGUAGGCGGUUCAGUAAGUCUGCUGUGAAAGUCCAGGGCUCAACCCUGGGAUGCCGGUGGAUACUGCUGAACUAGAGUGCGGAAGAGGCGAGUGGAAUUCCCGGUGUAGCGGUGAAAUGCGCAGAUAUCGGGAGGAACACCAAUUGCGAAGGCAGCUCGCUGGGACGUUACUGACGCUGAGACGCGAAAGCGUGGGGAGCGAUCCGG
RNAcentral lists this ribosomal RNA (253 nucleotides) under uncultured bacterium. Its description in RNAcentral is "partial 16S ribosomal RNA". It matches the Rfam family "Bacterial small subunit ribosomal RNA", at positions 524 to 776 of the family's 1533-position model. The record is from RNAcentral.